RNAcentral lists this transfer RNA (87 nucleotides) under Halanaerobium polyolivorans. RNAcentral describes it as "tRNA-Leu". It matches the Rfam family "tRNA". Rfam says of the family: Transfer RNA (tRNA) molecules are approximately 80 nucleotides in length. Their secondary structure includes four short double-helical elements and three loops (D, anti-codon, and T loops). The record is from RNAcentral. Lineage: Bacteria; Bacillati; Bacillota; Clostridia; Halanaerobiales; Halanaerobiaceae.
GCGAAAGUGGCGGAACUGGCAGACGCGCUAGAUUCAGGGUCUAGUGGUCUCACGACCGUGAGGGUUCGAAUCCCUCCUUUCGCACCA